This 253-nucleotide ribosomal RNA is filed under the name uncultured bacterium. RNAcentral describes it as "partial 16S ribosomal RNA". It matches the Rfam family "Bacterial small subunit ribosomal RNA", at positions 524 to 776 of the family's 1533-position model. The record is from RNAcentral.
UACAGAGGUCUCAAGCGUUGUUCGGAUUCAUUGGGCGUAAAGGGCGCGUAGGCGGGCUGUCAAGUCUGGGGUGAAAUGCUGCGGCUCAACCGUAGAACUGCCUUAGAUACUGACGGCCUCGAGGAAGGUAGGGGCAUGCGGAACUGUAGGUGGAGCGGUGAAAUGCGUUGAUAUCUACAGGAACUCCGGUGGCGAAAGCGGCGUGCUGGACCUUUUCUGACGCUGAGGCGCGAAAGCUAGGGGAGCAAACGGG